UGGGCCUUCCUUUUACUCCCAAUAUAGCUAAAAAACAAUUUCUUGUUGUCCUUUACUUGGGAUGCCAUCCUCAGCUCCAUGGUAGCUUUGGCCCGUCUAACUGCCUCCCUACAAGCACGAGCAGAGGAGGUAUAUUCGUCUUUGGUAAUCUCUCCCCGUUUCCACUUUUUAUAUGCCCCCCCUUUUGGCCCGUAGGUUGCUCUGGAUUUCUCUGGUCAGCCAAGGAAGCCUCUUGGCCCCUUUCCCCCUUUUUUCCCACAUCGGGAUCGUCUCCCUCUGUGCCCAAAGGAUCAUUUCCUUAAGGCACAGCCACCCUUCCUGGGCUCCCAACUCUUUAAAACACUUACUCUGCAGUGCGGCCUUGACUAAUCACCUGAGUUCGUUGAGAUCAGCUUUCCUAACAUCUAGCACUUUCACUCUGCUAGUUACCUUUCCCGCUCAACGUCUUAUAAUGCCUUAGGCAGGGCUUGGACUCGAUAGGACCUCUGCAGCUCCCUGCCAGCCCCACAUCUCUGUGACUUUAAGGAAGCAGAUGCUACCAAAGAGGAAGGAAGGAGGCAGGCAAACCUCAGCCUGGAGCAGUUGGAGCCGGUGUCACAGGGGCCGGAGCCCCCGCUGCAAGACUGCUAACGUUCAAUUAUUUUCUUUUUUUUUAUAUUUUGGAAAACUUUUCAAGUACCAGGUCAAAUUAGCCAGAUCAAGUCCGAAUCCUGUGAAUCGUUCGAAAACCUUAAGCUAACUUGCAAUGACUGACUUCCAGCAGCUUUGGGAGCAGUCUUCUCCAGCCCUACAAGCCCAACCUGGCUGCAGGGCAUUUCAAAGCAAUGACAGUUUGCACUGGAUUGGGCCCUGCAAGCCCAGUUUGGUGCCAUUGUGGUAAAAAUAUAGCAUAAUCUAUAUUUUCCUGCUUUUAUAAUUGUUUCUGCAUAUUUUCAUAAUUGCUUUUGCUAAGGCAUAUAUGCUAAUGAUAGAUUUACGAGUAGCACAAAAACUCCUGCAGACAGAGCCAGGAACAGAUGCAAUAAAUAACUCCUUACGAGAGAUAAGAGAAGAGGGGCAGGGAAGAUGCUGAGGUGGAGAAACCAGACCCUGACCGAAGGAUGACCGUGAGGGGCUUAAGAACUGCCCCUGGGAGGGGAUUUAAGAUGUAAAUGAGACAUGUAUGUAAACCGUCAUAGAACAUGUAACUGCUAGACAUACGAUGCAAGACGUAAUGCUAAGUCUGCCAAUAAUUGCACGAUACGUUGAAAUCUAUUGUUUACCUUGGCUAUAAAAAGAAGUUUCAGACCCAGUUUGUUGUCGACCCUGAUCUGAGUGGCUCAACUCCUAGGUCGGUCUGUUUGCAAACAAUAAAUCUGAAAUUGGACCUAUCCUGUGUGUGACUCUCUCCUGGGGUGGAUUGGACAAGCCUCCAGGGGCACGAAACUAGCCGUUUGUACAACACCAUGGACAAGCCCCAUCCAGCAGCAGCUGCAAAAUUGAGAGAGAAAUCCUGGUACCCACUGCAUGAGCCAGGCCCUGCACGAAGGACUACAAUUCCCAGGCAUGCCCAGAGGAGAGCCGCAGCCGGACUCCAGCCCAGCUGCAUCCUGCCCUUCCCCAGCCCACUCUUUGUGGCUGAAGCUUGAACCCAGCAUUUACCUGCUCUGGGACCAGCCUUGCCUGUCUCACCCAGGCACAGCCCCACGUGUGCCUGCUGCCUGGGCUCCUUCCCUGGGUACCGCACCCCUGGGCGAGCGCCAUACUGACCGUGCAAACUAGGACAUGGCUGCUGGGAGCACGGGGGAUGCUGGAGAGGACUCAGCCUCCCACCCCCAGGAGAGUGCCCCUUAUCCCCCCUUUUGCUGCUGAGAAACCGGAGGAAGGCAAAGCAGAGAGAUGCCUGGAGGGUCCCAGCACAGUUGGACAAAGAGAACCUACAAAUGUGACUCAGAAAGAAGAGAAACCUGAAAACAGAGGUUACACAAUCAGAAACAACCGAUGAAGCUGGUGUGAAAGAAGCACAGAUGGAUGCUCAAGAUACUCGGGGAUGGUUACCAAUGUCGGAGGAAGAAGUGGAAGAGAUGGAAAAACCCUGCGAACCACAAUCUAAUGAUGUUGCAUUUCAAAAGCUGUACUUUUACAUGUUUGCAUUGCAUUUGGAGAGACUAACCUCCGAAGAUGACAUUAGCCCAAAGUGACACCUGCUUUCUGGACGUGUAGACCAAGGGAAGAUAGGCCAUCCAUCUCCGAUGUCAGUCUAGAGAGCAACAGACCAUCCCGAGACAGGAUCGGGAGCUUCAGCCACCGCCUGUUACUCUUGGACGUUAACGCUGCCUCUUUUCAGGACUUCUCUUUGUUUUUGUUUGGAAAAAAUGGCAGAAAUGGUGCUGUUAUUUGACUGACUUCCAUAGCCCAGCCUUCAAACAAGCUUCCAAAACUGGAGCAGUAUGCUUUGCAUAGUUAUAUGGCUAUAUUAAACUUAAUUUGACUUUCG
Long non-coding RNA from Alligator mississippiensis (American alligator), 2476 nucleotides. RefSeq lists it as uncharacterized. The transcript has 3 exons. The record is from RefSeq and is a predicted model, not a curated record. Lineage: Eukaryota; Metazoa; Chordata; Crocodylia; Alligatoridae.